Molecule: unclassified non-coding RNA, 123 nt
Filed under: uncultured fungus
Lineage: Eukaryota; Fungi
Description: sequence contains ITS1
Source: RNAcentral
AUCUCGAACUUGUCGAGGCUUCCGUAAAACUCGAGCACCGGACGGGCGAUCAGCUCAUAAGCAUAAUAUCCGAGAAGCCAGCCGGCGACGCCGCCGAGCACAGAUCCCACGGUCGCGAUGAGU